GUGCUGACCAAGGAUAUUGAAACUACCACGGCAGCACAUAUACUAAAAUUGGAAUGAUACCGAGAAGAUUAGCAUGGUCCCUGCGCAAGGAUGACAUGCAAAUUCGUGAAGUCUUCCAUAUUUUU
Molecule: small nuclear RNA, 125 nt
Organism: Echinops telfairi (small Madagascar hedgehog)
Lineage: Eukaryota; Metazoa; Chordata; Mammalia; Afrosoricida; Tenrecidae
Source: Ensembl